UAGCUACGCGUCCAAUGAAUCAGCUACUUUAUAGCGUGGCUAAGGCGUGAGCGUACGUGCGAGAGAUGGGGCGAGGCCUAAAAGUAUCUGCCUCCACCUUCUCUGUCUCUCUCUCAUCCCGUUCCUCUGCGCCGCCUCCUCCGAUUCCCCUCCUCUUCUCCGUGCGUGGCGGCCGGCGCAGCUCCUCGCACCGCUGUCUGUCCACCCUGGCUCUCUCAGAUCGGGGCGGGGCGGAGCAGCUCUGCCUUCUUCCCGUACUCCAUCUCCAUACGUGCAGCGACGACCUAGAGGAGCUCAAGCCACAGUGAUAGUCCACGGCACUGUCGCCGUCGUCCUCUGCAGGAGGAGCACGAACCGCAUAGAUGGCCGGCUCCGUCCUGCUCCCAUGCCGCCGUUCGUCCAUCCUUUCUCUCUCUCUUGUUUUCCUUCAGAUCGGGGCGACUGCUAACUCUCUCUUUCUCAUUCUAUUUUCGUUGGUGGAGAGAUGGUGAUGGCCAUGACCACCUCGACGGUGAGUGAGGAAGAUGCCUUAUUGCGGGGAGAGAAGCAGCCCCAGAUUGAGGAGGACGGCACAGGUCGUGAGCAUGGUCAUGGCCUGCAGAUUGAGGAGGACACAUAGUUUUGACAAAAUUGUUCUGACUGUGCAUCUUGAGAGAGUCCAUGCCAACACAAAUCUUGUAGUUCUCUGAACUCAAUCUGAAAUAUGCAGCAAGGUUCGGUUACAAUGUGUGUCAAAUGAGAAUUACAAUAUUGCCUUUGUAGCUGCAUGGGUAUCAGUUUUUGUUUGUACCGAUCCUUCCAAACUGAAGCUUAGAGAGAUAAAAAUGUUGCACCUGAAGGGCUGAGUGAACUACUCAAUUCAGUUCUAUAACAAUCAUACUGAAAAUCUUCUUGCAUUAUGAGGUAUUAUAGAGCUUUUACAUUUGCAUCAAGUAGGUAAAUUGAAUACUGGAUACAAGCAUUUUUUACCUGAGGACUAUUGGCACUGGGAUGAUGGUCUUGAAAGCAACUGAUUUUUUUACUCAGGUUGGACAGUGGCAACCCUUAUGCCGAUUAGUGUUAUAGCAGGCUUAUACUAAUUUCACAUGGUUUUAACUUUUAGAUCCCAUGAUUAUGGGAGUGAAGAAAUUAUCCCUUUCUAGAUUUCAGUGAAUUUUCUUGUUAGUUUGACAAGGAAUAUGCCUGUGGUAUCAUACAUGAUUAUAGAAAAGACGGAAAACAAAUGGAAGUCUUCCUCCCUCAGUUUUUACUCCUCGAUUCUUCUGGUCUUGAUAGUCUUAUUUUGAUUUCUCAAUUUGUGGUUUUUCUAUACACAUGUGUGCAGAUUUGAGAAAGAAGAGAAGAGCAAUAAUGUUUAGGUUUUUCUAGAUAUGUGUGCAGAUUUGAGAAAGAAGAGAAGAGCAAUAGUCUUCGGGAAGAGUUUGGUGAAGAAUAAGGCUGAUUAUUUUUCCACUUUCCAAUCGAUGAAGUGCAUUCAAUCGAUAAAGUAGAUUUAGUUGUUGCAGCGGCACAAGCUCGGCCGUGGCUGCUACGACCCCAAUCUUUGGAUUAUUAUAAGCAUAGGCUGAUCGUGCACGAGGUGAAGAUGCUCACGCCUAAAGCCAAACCUGACGCCCUCGACGCCACCAUCCGGAGCUCAUCUAUAUUAGCUUUGGAUGGGGCUUCCUUUGUAGUUUAUGUACUGGUGGUUGUGGUGGUAAUUAUUACACUGUGCUUUUGCAGGAGAAGAACUGAAAAUGGUGACUUCUAUUGACUGGAAACCAAGUACUUGAAUAAUUAUUGUUCAGGAAAAAUAUAGUGUAUCGUGUUCUUGGUUGCUAAUACUGUAGUACCUAUGCAGAUCCUUCUGUCAGACCGCUGAAUGGAAAUAACUCAAAAGAAGAGAAUGGAGAUGCUGUCUCUAUGCAAUUCGAUAACUGUCAGUUCAGUUACAAAGAACUAAAGACCACAUCACAAAUAGCUUCGAGAAUUCCAUUGGCAAAAAGGUCAGUUUGGAGUAGUCUUAUCUUGGCUACUUGGAAGAUGGAAACGCAGUUACUAUUACUGUUGUUUGGUAUUUGGACAUAUCUUCUGAGAGUGAGAUGGGAACAGACAAAUUCAGGGAGAUGGGAACAGACAUAUUCAGUGAAGGUUGGCUGCGUUUAAACUAUUGUGCUCAAGUUGGAAACAAAUGCCUUUUCUUAGGAACUUGGCAGAAGCUAUACAUAUGCAAAUAGAGGUUCAGACACAGCUCCAUGAACAACUAUAGGUGCCUUCUUUGUUCAUGUUUUCGAGCUCUAAUUGGAUGAUGCUGUUGUCGGCGUAUAUUUUUUAUGGUAGGAGCAUUUUUUUCUAGCUUCACAAUAAUUACUGUGCUUUGUGUAGGUAUGAACCCAAAUCAAUAUUUAAAUGGGUGCUAAAUGUUUUUGCAGCAUGGUGGACUUUCUAAUCUGGUCAUAUGUAGUUCGUGUAUAGUAUGGUUUUUUCCCUGUAGUGUGAGAUGUACAUAUAAUGUUCUGUUUGAGGUAUUAUCUAAGAAAAGAUAUAUGUUACCUUACUUGAUUAUAAGCCCAAUGGGUGUAGUUUUUAUUCAGAGUUUACAAGGUUUUACCUUUAUUCUAUGGGUCAUGGUUGAUAUAAUUUCGGUGUUGUGGGUGUAAUCUGUGUCUGUGCCUUUCCUUUUACCGUACUAGGUUAUAGAAAGAAUCAAGAUACUUCACCAAUAGUACCCAACGGGGUAGUUCCUAAGUAUGUUCGUAUUCUCAAAAAAAAGUUCCUAGGUAUGUUCUAAAUCUGAAAAAUGCAUUGCUGGGCGAGGUUGAUCGGUGUACUGGUUUUUCCGGUUCUUGAUCAGUUCUUUGGAGGCCUUGGGCAUGCUUCUUUUUAUAUUUGCAUGGUCUUUUUUCCUCUUUGCUGUUUUCUCUCUUUAGUGUUUCUUUGAUGUUCCUUUCUCGCACCUUUGAUGUUCUGCCUUGGGUGGCCUCUGUCUUGGUUUUACUUUAUUCAUUUUGCCCCAUGUUUACUUUCUAAUGUGUUUUUUGGUUUUCUUCCUUGAUCUGCUAUUUCCUUUGGUGAUCCUUCUUCAUUUAAACAAGUCCACAACUCGAUUGAUUAUAAGCUUCUUUUGUUGCAGCAGUUUAUUUUUUUUCAUCAUCAAGAUUUCUCCAGUUAGUAUUUCUGUUUCGGUGUGCUGUGUGCUUCUUGCCGACGGACCUCCCAUUGCUUAUGUCCUACCAGUAGAGCCAUGCCUCCUUGUCCUGUCUGUCAAAAGCUCGGUACAACCAGUAGCGAGGCACCUCCCUGUGGCGCUGUUCGUUGAAAGCUUUCUUUCUCUUUGUCACAAAUGUCUUCUCAUUAUAUCUGUCCAAUUGAUGAUCCACUAGAUUUGCAGAAAAGUUAUUGGCAGUUGUUGUUCUUCUCUACAUUAGUUUCUGAUGCUAGCAUGCUAAGGUUGAGUUCUUUGGGCUCCAAAUAUAUCUGACCUCUGCUGCUUGUGCUCUCUGGGAGUGGUUUUAAAUGCAUGACCUGUUCAGUUCUUGGUUUAAUAGACCAUUCCUGAUCCUUGCUUUAUUAGGUACGAUAGUUUAUUUGUUUGCUAGCAGUAAUGAAUAUGAAUAUAUAAAUCUCGAGUGUGAGACGCAGACAUGCUAAGACUGUUUGCUUUGAUAAUUUCUGCAGAAAUCGUGCUGCUGCUGUGUGGGUUCCAAACGGUUUGGGAUAAACAAUGUAUAAGUUUACAAAAAGGGUGUGUUUGGAUGGCUAUGAAGCACAUUUGAGAAGAACACCGACAUCGCUAGCAGGAGAAAGUAUGUGAGGUUGGUAGAGUCAGUCAAGAAAUAAUGGCGGUACAGUGCACACAUUUCUUACUGCACGCUCUUUAUUCAUAGAUGCUCAUUUCACACUAUGGUCAAUGAGAAUUUUGAACUUCAAUAAACUGUCACACUGUUCUGGACAUGAGGUCUAACAAAAACUAUAGUUCAAUGUAGUGUUUUUCUCGCUUCUUGAUCGAUGUGGCAGAGGCCAUGGACUGCUUGCAAAAUUGUUUUUCCAUCUCUACUAUUUUCUGCCUUUGGAACUACUUAAAUUGAUUUCCUCGUGUUGGUCAUUGUUCUCACUUGGGUGGCCUCUGUCCUUAUUUUUCGCGAAUACGCAAGCGGUGUAUCAUUUUAUUGAUAGGUAGGAGAACAAGAGUUACAACUUACAAGGUGGUAGAUACAUAGCUCGUACACCGGAGGGCGAGGAUGGAUCUACAAUGAGCAGAAGAAGCCGGGGUGCUCAGCCCAAACACAAACAGGUGCAGAGGCAUACACACCUUAUGUCUGUUCACGGGGCAGAUCCGGCUGCCACAUCUUUCCGCCGUGCCAGAGGAAGUCGCGGAUCACCCGGUUGGCUCUCAAGUGGUGGUGUUCAAAGCUACCCCUGAGAAGAUGUGCAUGGGCAUGGCGGAGAGGACAUGACGGACAAGGGCAAGCCUAACACUGGCUACAACUUGGACUCGGCAAACUACAUCAACACGCAUGUAUAGGAGUUUGGAAUAUCCAACAUUUUCUGCUUUUUAUUUACUUCAUCCAAUAUCUGGGAACAAAAUGUGCUUUUAAAUUUGAUCCCCCGUGUGACUUAAUACUUUGAAAUAAUUUUUCAUUACCUAUACUUCUUUAUUAGUUUUAGUUUUGUUCUC
Long non-coding RNA from Triticum aestivum (bread wheat), 4657 nucleotides. RefSeq lists it as uncharacterized. The record is from RefSeq and is a predicted model, not a curated record. The transcript has 3 exons. NCBI's taxonomy places the organism in Eukaryota, Viridiplantae, Streptophyta, Magnoliopsida, Poales, Poaceae.